AGACCGCUCAAAACUCAAUAAAUUCUAUCCAACACUAGGAAUAACAGACUUCACUCCAACCAAUUUGAAUUCACAGAAUUCUUGUACUCAUAGACUUCCUCUGUCAAAACACACAUACACAACUCUCAAUAAACAACAAUCAUAAUCUUCCAUCCAUAAUCAAUCUUCCAAUAACUUUCAUAUAAUUCAAUCACUCAGUACUCCAAUUACAUAAUCAAUAACUCAUAAAUCAAUCUCUGAUUUAUUCACAAAUUCACUUCUCAU
This 264-nucleotide long non-coding RNA is filed under the name Physcomitrium patens. RNAcentral's name for it is "long non-coding RNA (PPAT_LNC013345)". The record is from RNAcentral. Lineage: Eukaryota; Viridiplantae; Streptophyta; Bryopsida; Funariales; Funariaceae.